Molecule: transfer RNA, 78 nt
Filed under: Pangasianodon gigas (Mekong giant catfish)
Lineage: Eukaryota; Metazoa; Chordata; Actinopteri; Siluriformes; Pangasiidae
Description: tRNA-Glu
Rfam family: tRNA
About the family: Transfer RNA (tRNA) molecules are approximately 80 nucleotides in length.
Source: RNAcentral
UCCCUGGAGGACUAGUGGUUAGGCCACAGCGCUCUCACCGCCGUGGCCAGGGCCCGGGUUCCAUUCCUGGCCAGGGAA